GGGUGUGAGAGCAAUCUGCUGUGACAUCUGUCACUCCUUUGAUCGCCAGGCUUGAUGUGGUCCAUCUGGGUGGCUCUUCACCCUUACUGUGCCAGGGCAUCCUGCCCAAUGCCCUGUACUUGGUUGAAAAGGAUGAGCUUCCCUGAUACAGGAGCCCUAUUUCCUCAGGCAGCGGUAUGAGAGUAGCACACUCUCCUUCUACAGCCUCCACACAAUCUCUGGAGAACAUGAGUGGACAGAAUACAUUGUCUCCAUUCAGGGAUCAUCGAACGAUGACUCAGGCUAAUGGAAUGACUCGGGUU
Molecule: unclassified non-coding RNA, 302 nt
Organism: Cavia aperea (Brazilian guinea pig)
Lineage: Eukaryota; Metazoa; Chordata; Mammalia; Rodentia; Caviidae
Gene: 7SK
Rfam family: 7SK RNA
About the family: 7SK was discovered as an abundant small nuclear RNA in the mid-70s but a possible function has only recently been suggested. Two independent studies have found that 7SK RNA binds the CDK9/cyclin T complex (known as elongation factor P-TEFb).
Source: Ensembl